RNAcentral lists this ribosomal RNA (496 nucleotides) under uncultured bacterium. RNAcentral describes it as "partial 16S ribosomal RNA". It matches the Rfam family "Bacterial small subunit ribosomal RNA", at positions 29 to 507 of the family's 1533-position model. The record is from RNAcentral.
AUGCACGCUGGCGGCGUGCCUCAUACAUGCAAGUCGCGCGAACAGACGAGGAGCUUGCUCCUCUGACGUUAGCGGCGGGCGGGUGAGUAACACGUGGAUAACCUACCUAUAAGACUGGGAUAACUUCGGGAAACCUGAGCUAAUACCGGAUAAUAUAUUGAACCGCAUGGUUCAAUAGUGAAAGACGGUUUUGCUGUCACUUAUAGAUGGAUCCGCGCCGCAUUAGCUAGUUGGUAAGGUAACGGCUUACCAAGGCAACGAUGCGUAGCCGACCUGAGAGGGUGAUCGGCCACACUGGAACUGAGACACGGUCCAGACUCCUACGGGAGGCAGCAGUAGGGAAUCUUCCGCAAUGGGCGAAAGCCUGACGGAGCAACGCCGCGUGAGUGAUGAAGGUCUUCGGAUCGUAAAACUCUGUUAUUAGGGAAGAACAAAUGUGUAAGUAACUAUGCACGUCUUGACGGUACCUAAUCAGAAAGCCACGGCUAACUACGUG